UGCCACAGCCACAUCACCCUGCAGCACAAGAUACUAAGCAGGGCUGAGCCUGAUCAGUACCUGGAUGGUAGACCACAUGGGAAAACUAGGUUGCUGUUGGAA
This 102-nucleotide ribosomal RNA is filed under the name Danio rerio (zebrafish). Lineage: Eukaryota; Metazoa; Chordata; Actinopteri; Cypriniformes; Danionidae. The record is from RNAcentral.